GCCGAAGUGGUGGAAUUGGUAGACGCGCUGCGUUCAGGGCGCAGUGGGCACUAGCCCGUGCGGGUUCGAGUCCCGCCUUCGGCA
Molecule: transfer RNA, 84 nt
Filed under: Gemmatimonadaceae bacterium
Lineage: Bacteria; Pseudomonadati; Gemmatimonadota; Gemmatimonadia; Gemmatimonadales; Gemmatimonadaceae
Also listed under: 1 other name
Description: tRNA-Leu
Rfam family: tRNA
About the family: Transfer RNA (tRNA) molecules are approximately 80 nucleotides in length.
Source: RNAcentral